This 467-nucleotide ribosomal RNA is filed under the name uncultured bacterium. RNAcentral describes it as "partial 16S ribosomal RNA". It matches the Rfam family "Bacterial small subunit ribosomal RNA", at positions 28 to 506 of the family's 1533-position model. The record is from RNAcentral.
GACGAACGCUGGCGGCGUGCUUAACACAUGCAAGUCGAACGGAAAGGCCCUGCUUUUGUGGGGUGCUCGAGUGGCGAACGGGUGAGUAACACGUGAGUAACCUGCCCUUGACUUUGGGAUAACUUCAGGAAACUGGGGCUAAUACCGGAUAGGAGCUCCUGCUGCAUGGUGGGGGUUGGAAAGUUUCGGCGGUUGGGGAUGGACUCGCGGCUUAUCAGCUUGUUGGUGGGGUAGUGGCUUACCAAGGCUUUGACGGGUAGCCGGCCUGAGAGGGUGACCGGCCACAUUGGGACUGAGAUACGGCCCAGACUCCUACGGGAGGCAGCAGUGGGGAAUAUUGCACAAUGGGCGGAAGCCUGAUGCAGCAACGCCGCGUGCGGGAUGACGGCCUUCGGGUUGUAAACCGCUUUCGCCUGUGACGAAGCGUGAGUGACGGUAAUGGGUAAAGAAGCACCAGCGAACUACGU